GUGCCAGCAGCCGCGGUAAUACGUAGGGAGCGAGCGUUAUCCGGAAUUAUUGGGCGUAAAGGGUGCGUAGAUGGCAAUAAAAGUUUCUUGUAAAAAUGCUAGGCUCAACCUAGUAGGGCAAGGGAUACUAUAUAGCUAGAGUAUGAUAGAGGCAAGUGGAACUCCAUGUGUAGCGGUAAAAUGCGUAAAUAUAUGGAAGAACACCAGUGGCGAAGGCGGCUUGCUAGGUCAAUACUGACAUUGAGGCACGAAAGCGUGGGGAGCAAACAGGAUUAGAUACCCUGGUAGUCCACGCCCUAAACGAUGAGUACUAAGUGUUGGAGAGAUUCAGUGCUGAAGUUAACGCAUUAAGUACUCCGCCUGAGUAGUACGUACGCAAGUAUGAAACUUAAAGGAAUUGACGGGAGCCCGCACAAGCGGUGGAGCAUGUUGUUUAAUUCGACGAUACGCGAAGAACCUUACCAGGUCUUGACAUCUAGGUGUUAGCUAUAGAGAUAUAGUGAGAUAGCCUAAGACAGGUGGUGCAUGGUUGUCGUCAGCUCGUGUCGUGAGAUGUUGGGUUAAGUCCCGCAACGAGCGCAACCCUUAUUACUAGUUACUAGCAUUAAGUUGAGGACUCUAGUAAGACUGCCAGUGAUAAAUUGGAGGAAGGUGGGGAUGACGUCAAAUCAUCAUGCCCUUUAUGACCUGGGCUACAAACGUGCUACAAUGGCUGAAACAAAGAGAAGCGAAGGAGCGAUCUGGAGCGAACCUCAAAAAAGCAGUCUCAGUUCGGAUUGAAGUCUGCAACUCGACUUCAUGAAGUUGGAAUCGCUAGUAAUCGCGAAUCAGAAUGUCGCGGUGAAUACGUUCCCGGGCUUUGUACACACCGCCCGU
This 876-nucleotide ribosomal RNA is filed under the name uncultured rumen bacterium. RNAcentral's name for it is "bacterial SSU rRNA". It matches the Rfam family "Bacterial small subunit ribosomal RNA", at positions 505 to 1397 of the family's 1533-position model. The record is from RNAcentral.